AGUGAACGCUGGCGGUAGGCCUAACACAUGCAAGUCGAACGGCAGCACAGGAGAGCUUGCUCUCUGGGUGGCGAGUGGCGGACGGGUGAGGAAUACAUCGGAAUCUACUCUGUCGUGGGGGAUAACGUAGGGAAACUUACGCUAAUACCGCAUACGACCUACGGGUGAAAGCAGGGGACCUUCGGGCCUUGCGCGAUUGAAUGAGCCGAUGUCGGAUUAGCUAGUUGGCGGGGUAAAGGCCCACCAAGGCGACGAUCCGUAGCUGGUCUGAGAGGAUGAUGAGCCACACUGGAACUGAGACACGGUCCAGACUCCUACGGGAGGCAGCAGUGGGGAAUAUUGGACAAUGGGCGCAAGCCUGAUCCAGCCAUACCGCGUGGGUGAAGAAGGCCUUCGGGCUGUAAAGCCCUUUUGUUGGGAAAGAAAUCCAGCUGGCUAAUACCCGGUUGGGAUGACGGUACCCAAAGAAUAAGCACCGGCUAGCUUCGUGCCAGCAGCCGCCGUAA
Molecule: ribosomal RNA, 506 nt
Filed under: uncultured bacterium
Lineage: Bacteria
Description: partial 16S ribosomal RNA
Rfam family: Bacterial small subunit ribosomal RNA
Source: RNAcentral